This 425-nucleotide ribosomal RNA is filed under the name uncultured bacterium. RNAcentral describes it as "partial 16S ribosomal RNA". It matches the Rfam family "Bacterial small subunit ribosomal RNA", at positions 354 to 796 of the family's 1533-position model. The record is from RNAcentral.
GUGGGGAAUCUUGCGCAAUGGGCGAAAGCCUGACGCAGCCAUGCCGCGUGGAUGAUGAAGGUCUUAGGAUUGUAAAAUCCUUUCACCGGUGAAGAUAAUGACUGUAGCCGGAGAAGAAGCCCCGGCUAACUUCGUGCCAGCAGCCGCGGUAAUACGAAGGGGGCUAGCGUUGCUCGGAUUUACUGGGCGUACAGGGCGCGCAGGCGGACAUUUAAGUCAGGGGUGAAAUCCCGGGGCUCAACCUCGGAACUGCCUUUGAUACUGGGUGUCUUGAGUAUGAGAGAGGUGUGUGGAACUCCGAGUGUAGAGGUGAAAUUCGUAGAUAUUCGGAAGAACACCAGUGGCGAAGGCGACACACUGGCUCAUUACUGACGCUGAGGCGCGAAAGCGUGGGGAGCAAACAGGAUUAGAAACCCCGGUAGUCC